This 281-nucleotide small RNA is filed under the name Arabidopsis thaliana (thale cress). RNAcentral's name for it is "ATSL078090". Lineage: Eukaryota; Viridiplantae; Streptophyta; Magnoliopsida; Brassicales; Brassicaceae. The record is from RNAcentral.
AUACAGGAAUAGGAAUUGAAAUAUGGAGAAGUUUACCAAACCAUGUAAUUUUUACAAAUGAUAAUAUCGUAGAAAAAUUAUGACUUGGCUCCGAAUGGUAACGUGCGGUUUAACUGUGGAUAAAAUGCAGUGCGGUUCUAAUAAUAACAAAAAUAUUUACAUAUAUAUAUAUAUAUUUUUGUUACUGUUCGAACCGCACCACAUCAUACCGUUCGGCCUGCAUUCGGAACCUCAGUCUACGACGAAUGAUACCAUCAUUUGUCAUUACAACGUGUAUCUAU